GCAAGUCGAACGGGCUAGUGCUUCGCACUAGUCUCUUUCUGGGGUUGUUACUCUAAGGCUACCUGCUAAAGUUAUUGCUUUAAAGCAGGGGUUUUAGGAGACUUUCUCCGAAAGGGGCCAGUGCGGAGCACUGGCCAGUGGCGAACGGGUGAGUAACACGUGGGUAAUCUACCCUCGAGUGGGGAAUAAGCUUCCGAAAGGGGGUCUAAUGCCGCAUAACGUUUCAUAACGAUGGUUAUGAAACCAAAGCCCAAAAGGCGCUCGAGGAGGAGCCUGCGUCCUAUCAGCUUGUUGGGCAGGGUAAUGGCCUACCAAGGCUAUGACGGGUAGCCGGCCUGAGAGGGUGUCCGGCCACACUGGAACUGAGACACGGUCCAGACUCCUACGGGAGGCAGCAGUGGGGAAUUUUGCGCAAUGGGGGAAACCCUGACGCAGCGACGCCGCGUGGAGGAUGACGGCCUUCGGGUUGUAAACUCCUGUCAGAAGGGACGAAAUCCCGCAAGGGACUGACGGUACCUUCAGAGGAAGCCCCGGCUAACUACGUG
This 545-nucleotide ribosomal RNA is filed under the name uncultured bacterium. Its description in RNAcentral is "bacterial SSU rRNA". It matches the Rfam family "Bacterial small subunit ribosomal RNA", at positions 57 to 507 of the family's 1533-position model. The record is from RNAcentral.